AUAUUGUACCAUACAAUCUUGUCUUGCACAUUACAUCACACUACAUCAUCCAACAAAGUCAAACAUACAAUCUUGUCUUGCAUAGUACAUUAUCCAACACAAGCUUACAUGAAUGUACACCAAGCAAUAUAUAGUAGUUUGUGUUUGAUAUAUAAUACUAAGGUUGGUGCACACAAUAGAAAAUGAAAAACCAAAAGCACGUCCACCAGGUUGUGGAGAACCAUUUUCCAUGAACUUAAGCCAAACACUUGUUGUGCCUAGCACUUCCUGAAAAAUAUAACAUGUAAUUAGGCAAGUGGAGAAAAUAAUAAAAAGUUGUUGUACAAUAGUAGUGUACUACUAGUGUGUGAGUACGAUCAUCUGUUAAAAAGAAUAUCUCUUCUACUUGCUAGCUAAAUUCUGCUUGCUAGGUUGAGUUGGAGAAAAUAAUAUAAAGCUAUUGUAUAAUAGUAGUGUACUACUGGUGUGUGAGUAGGAUCAUCUUUAAAAGAUUCUCUCUUCUACUUGCUAACUAAAUUCUGCUUGCUAGGUUGAGUCACUUGCUAGGUUGAGGCAGUGGGUUGCCAUGGGCAUAACUCUUCUUGUUUUCAGAAUCAUUCAACAAUUCCAUUUGCCUCAUCCUAGGGAGCACUAGAGAAUUAGUAAAUUUACCACUAGGGAGCACGUAUACUUCUUAUUAGUGGCAAGAUGACUAAAAUAAUUAGGUGCAGAUCAGUCGAGUGCAAAGGCCUCUACCUAGCAGCAUU
RNAcentral lists this long non-coding RNA (746 nucleotides) under Sorghum bicolor (sorghum). RNAcentral's name for it is "long non-coding RNA (SBIC_LNC008638)". Lineage: Eukaryota; Viridiplantae; Streptophyta; Magnoliopsida; Poales; Poaceae. The record is from RNAcentral.